UGCCUGGUGUUACAUAUGAGGUGCUGUUUUCUGCUGGAGGCUUUGUGUGUGGUAGGUAGGCAAGCAUUUCCACCACUGAGCUACAUUCUCUACCCAAGGUUCUUAGUUGCCCUUGCUGACCAGAGCCCCAAGUCAUCCUCCUCUAUUUGGGAUGCUCCAAUUCCAUCAGACACACAGUGGGCUCCAGAACCAAGGCACACAAAAGAAAGCACUCUGGGCCUCUGUUAUUUCCUCCUGUUUCAUCUUCCCGUCCGCUACAGUAUAUGUUCCUUACCAGCUCGAACUAUCCACUACUCAAAUACAUAUGCAAACAUAUUCAAUGGAAUCGCCAUGCCAACAUCAUCUGUCCC
This 350-nucleotide long non-coding RNA is filed under the name Rattus norvegicus (Norway rat). RNAcentral describes it as "long non-coding RNA NONRATT025747". Lineage: Eukaryota; Metazoa; Chordata; Mammalia; Rodentia; Muridae. The record is from RNAcentral.